UCGCAGCUUGCGCCGGCAGUCCCGCCAGAGUCCCCAGCUUUGCCUGUUGGCAACUGGCGGUAGGGGUUGCGCUCGUUAUGGCACUUAAGCCGACACCUCACGGCACGAGCUGACGACAACCAUGCAGCACCUCGUCGCAGGUCCGUAGACGGGCAUCCUUUCAGACACCCUUCCUGCAACGUUUGAGCCCGGGUAAGGUUCCUCGCGUAUCAUCGAAUUAAACCACAUGUUCCUCCGCUUGUGCGGGCCCCCGUCAAUUCCUUUGAGUUUCACCGUUGCCGGCGUACUCCCCAGGUGGAGCGCUUAACGCUUUCGCUGUGGCACCCAGGGGCCAUUCCCCCCGGACACCUAGCGCUCAUCGUUUACCGCGUGGACUAC
This 378-nucleotide unclassified non-coding RNA is filed under the name uncultured Muribaculaceae bacterium. RNAcentral describes it as "contains 16S-23S intergenic spacer region". The record is from RNAcentral. Lineage: Bacteria; Pseudomonadati; Bacteroidota; Bacteroidia; Bacteroidales; Muribaculaceae.